AAAAGACUUAUAUAAACAUAAGUUGGAAAGAAGUAGAAGGAAAAUUAAACUAAUGCCAACAGUUCAGUUUUGGUCAA
This 77-nucleotide long non-coding RNA is filed under the name Nannospalax galili (Upper Galilee mountains blind mole rat). Its description in RNAcentral is "ST7 overlapping transcript 3 conserved region 1 (ENSNGAG00000003745.1)". It matches the Rfam family "ST7 overlapping transcript 3 conserved region 1". Lineage: Eukaryota; Metazoa; Chordata; Mammalia; Rodentia; Spalacidae. The record is from RNAcentral.